RNAcentral lists this ribosomal RNA (389 nucleotides) under Couesius plumbeus (lake chub). RNAcentral describes it as "partial small subunit ribosomal RNA". It matches the Rfam family "Bacterial small subunit ribosomal RNA", at positions 794 to 1384 of the family's 1533-position model. Lineage: Eukaryota; Metazoa; Chordata; Actinopteri; Cypriniformes; Leuciscidae. The record is from RNAcentral.
GCUCAGCCAUAAACCUUGACGUCCAACUACGAUUGACGUCCGCCCGGGUACUACGAGCAUUAGCUUGAAACCCAAAAGACCUGACGGUGCCUUAGACCCCCCUAGAGGAGCCUGUUCUAGAACCGAUAACCCUCGUUAAACCUCACCACUUCUAGCCACCCCAGCCUAUAUACCGCCGUCGUCAGCUUACCCUGUGAAGGCAAUAAAAGUAAGCAAAAUGGGCACAACCCAGAACGUCAGGUCGAGGUGUAGCGUACGAAGUGGGAAGAAAUGGGCUACAUUUUCUAUUAUAGAACACUACGAAUAUGCAACAUGAAAUAGUGCUUGAAGGAGGAUUUAGUAGUAAAAAGGAAGCAGAGUGUCCUUUUGAACCCGGCUCUGAGGCGCGU